AACAGGCGUUGAAACAUACCGUAGACAGUAGGUGCGUGAUUCGCUUAAUUUCCUACCGAGGUAAGCAAAUAGAUGAAAGUCUUUUGACUGGACUCGUAUGCCCUCAUGUCUGCAUGGGGGCAUUUUCGUUGGCCUC
This is a regulatory RNA element of 136 nucleotides. It matches the Rfam family "Ribosomal protein L10 leader". Rfam says of the family: This family is a putative r-protein leader autoregulatory structure found in B. subtilis and other low-GC Gram-positive bacteria. It is located in the 5' untranslated regions of mRNAs encoding ribosomal proteins L10 and L12 (rplJ-rplL). The record is from Rfam.